CAUGGAUCUGGCAUUGGGAUUAUCGAUCUGGCAUCGAACUCUAAGGAGCAGCCACUUCUGCUGGGAAGAUACAGUCUGGCACUGUCAACUCCGCUGGGGAUAUAUAGUCUGGCACUGUCAACUCUACUGGGGAGUGUAUGUCCUGAAACAACCGCUUGGGGAAGUACGGUGGUGAGAAACUGCUGGGGAUUGAAGAAUCCAACACUCUGAUCAGCUCUGCAGGGAUAAGACACCGAAUUUGUCUGUUGGCGACUUCACUGGGGAAGAUAUUCACGAUCAUCUGCAGGGGAUUUUAAGGAAAUGCCCCGAGGGUAUCUGUUCUGAAUAGACGAUCCAAAGCACUUAAAAUUUACAGCAAUUUUAAAUGUUUAUUAAGCAUGUACCUGUAAAGCCCUUAUGUGUCAUGAUGCAAUGUUUAUCAAAAAUUCGGACGUCAUUUUUGCAAACAAAACAGUAAAAUGAAAAUGAAAACAGAGAUAU
Molecule: long non-coding RNA, 480 nt
Filed under: Lathyrus oleraceus (garden pea)
Lineage: Eukaryota; Viridiplantae; Streptophyta; Magnoliopsida; Fabales; Fabaceae
Description: Pisum sativum (pea) long non-coding RNA (PSAT_LNC038436)
Source: RNAcentral